RNAcentral lists this ribosomal RNA (200 nucleotides) under uncultured bacterium. RNAcentral's name for it is "partial 16S ribosomal RNA". It matches the Rfam family "Bacterial small subunit ribosomal RNA", at positions 8 to 222 of the family's 1533-position model. The record is from RNAcentral.
AGAGUUUGAUCCUGGCUCAGAAUCAACGCUGGCGGCGUGCCUAACACAUGCAAGUCGCACGAGAAAGUGGAGCAAUCCAUGAGUAAAGUGGCGCACGGGUGAGUAACACGUGAAUCAUCUACCUCCGAGUGGGGAAUAACUGAGAGAAAUCUUAGCUAAUACCGCAUAAUACCCACGGGUCAAAGCAGCAAUGCGCUUGG